UACGUAGGUGGCGAGCGUUGUUCGGAUUUAUUGGGCGUAAAGGGUCCGCAGGGGGUCCGUUAAGUCUGAUGUGAAAUCUCAUGGCUCAACCAUGAAACUGCAUUGGAUACUGGUGGACUAGAGUACCGGAGAGGAGAGCGGAAUUCCUGGUGUAGCGGUGGAAUGCGUAGAUAUCAGGAAGAACACCAAGAGCGAAGGCAGCUCUCUGGACGGUUACUGACCCUCAGGGACGAAAGCAUGGGGAGCAAACAGGAUUAGAUACCCUGGUAGUCCAUGCCGUAAACGUUGUGAACUUGAUGUGGGAGGAUUUAGUCCCUUCCGUGUCGUAGUUAACGCGAUAAGUUCACCGCCUGGGGACUACGGCCGCAAGGCUAAA
Molecule: ribosomal RNA, 376 nt
Filed under: uncultured bacterium
Lineage: Bacteria
Description: bacterial SSU rRNA
Rfam family: Bacterial small subunit ribosomal RNA
Source: RNAcentral